AAACCGUUCAGGGGUAAACCUGAGAAACCCAAAAGAUCGAAUGGGGAGACUCAGCGUCAGCCGCUUGUUGGCUUGCGUGCGGCUCGCGAUGCUCUCGGGUGGCCUUUCACGAGGUCUUUCACGAGGGCACGCGGUCGCUGCGUCAUGUCCGGCGCGGUCGGCGUGCACUUCUCCCCUAGUAGGACGUCGCGACCCGUUGGGUGUCGACCGACGGCCCGCGAGGUAGCCUGGGGCGCAGCGCGUUAAUAGCGCGCUCGCGUCUCAGACCCGCGUGUGCCCGGCUCGACUGCCCGGCGGUAGAGAUCGCUUAUGAUAAUGGUAUGGGGUCGCACGCUCAUGUAAAUCUGCGAUGCGUUUCGGCCCGUCGACAGACUGGCCUCGCUCGGCGUUUACGGACCUGGUGCCGUUGCCGAGCGCUUGGUCGGUCCAAUUCGACGGUGUCCUCGAACGGGCCCUGCUUUAAAACAUACCCGUCGGCGACGCUACUGCUUUGGGUACUUUCAGGACCCGUCUUGAAACACGGACCAA
This 528-nucleotide ribosomal RNA is filed under the name Megaphragma digitatum. RNAcentral's name for it is "partial large subunit ribosomal RNA". The record is from RNAcentral. Lineage: Eukaryota; Metazoa; Arthropoda; Insecta; Hymenoptera; Trichogrammatidae.